Molecule: long non-coding RNA, 262 nt
Filed under: Sorghum bicolor (sorghum)
Lineage: Eukaryota; Viridiplantae; Streptophyta; Magnoliopsida; Poales; Poaceae
Description: long non-coding RNA (SBIC_LNC006103)
Source: RNAcentral
GGAUGGUGCACCCGGGCGCCGCGAACAGCGCGGCCCGCAGCGGCGACGACGGCCGCGGCAGCUGCCACAGCACCUCGUUGCCGUUCCUUCGCGCGACGCGCGCGUCGAGGCGGACGGCGUCGGCGUCGGCGUCGGCGGAGGCGGAGGCGGAGGCGUCAGUGGUCAGCAGCGGCGGCGGGGGAGGAGGGGCGCGCGGGAGGAGCAGCGCGGUGGCGAGGAGGAGCAAGGCGCACGUCGAGGCGAUCAGCACCGCGGGCCGGAG